RNAcentral lists this ribosomal RNA (112 nucleotides) under Bacteroidota bacterium. Lineage: Bacteria; Pseudomonadati; Bacteroidota. The record is from RNAcentral.
UAUGGCAGCUAUAGCAUGGGUGUUCACCUCUUCCCAUUUCGAACAGAGAAGUUAAGCCCCAUAGCGCAGAUGAUACUAGUGUUAAAACUGGGAAAGUAUGUCGCUGCCAAAU